This 649-nucleotide ribosomal RNA is filed under the name uncultured bacterium. RNAcentral's name for it is "bacterial SSU rRNA". It matches the Rfam family "Bacterial small subunit ribosomal RNA", at positions 703 to 1354 of the family's 1533-position model. The record is from RNAcentral.
AGAACACCCAUGGUGAAGACAGCUUACCAAACUAGCACUGACGCUCAGGCACGAAAGCGUGGGGAGCCAACAGGAUUAGAUACCCUGGUAGUCCACGCCGUAAACGUUGAUCACUCGUUGUUGGCAAUACACCGUCAGCGACUAAGCAAAAGCAUUAAGUGAUCCACCUGGGGAGUACGAUCGCAAGGUUGAAACUCAAAGGAAUUGACGGGGGCCCGCACAAGCGGAGGAGCAUGUGGUUUAAUUCGAUGAUACGCGAGGAACCUUACCCGGGCUUAAAUGUAGCGUGCAUUGGUGUGAAAACACCAUUUCCCUCGGGACCCGCUACAAGGUGCUGCAUGGUUGUCGUCAGCUCGUGCCGUGAGGUGUCGGGUUAAGUCCCAUAACGAGCGCAACCCCUAUCUUUAGUUGCUAACAGGUAACGCUGAGGACUCUAAAGAAACUGCCCGCGCAAGCGGUGAGGAAGGUGGGGAUGACGUCAAAUCAGCACGGCCCUUAUGUCCGGGGCUACACACGUGCUACAAUGGCCGGUACAGUGGGCAGCUCAUGCGCGAGCAUUUGCUAAUCUCUAAAACCGGUCUCAGUACGGAUCGGAGUCUGCAACCCGACUCCGUGAAGCUGGAUUCGCGUAGUAAUCGCACAUCAGCCA